This 418-nucleotide ribosomal RNA is filed under the name uncultured eukaryote. Its description in RNAcentral is "bacterial SSU rRNA". It matches the Rfam family "Eukaryotic small subunit ribosomal RNA", at positions 592 to 1018 of the family's 1831-position model. The record is from RNAcentral.
CAAUAGCGUAUAUUAAAGUUGUUGCAGUUAAAAGCUCGUAGUUGGAUCUCGGGUCCAGGCUUGCGGUUCUGCUCGUGCAGACACUGCUCGUCCUGACCUACCUGCCGGUUUUCCCUUGGUGCCCUUGAUUGGGUGUCUCGGGUGGCCGGAACGUUUACUUUGAAAAAUUAGAGUGUUCAAAGCAUGCAACCGCUUUGAAUACAUUAGCAUGGAAUAACGCUAUAGGACUCUGGUCGUAUUGUGUUGGUCUUCGGGACCGGAGUAAUGAUUAAGAGGGACAGUUGGGGGCAUUCGUAUUUCAUUGUCAGAGGUGAAAUUCUUGGAUUUAUGAAAGACGAACUUCUGCGAAAGCAUUUGCCAAGGAUGUUUUCAUUAAUCAAGAACGAAAGUUGGGGGCUCGAAGACGAUUAGAUACCGU